RNAcentral lists this ribosomal RNA (433 nucleotides) under Badonnelia titei. RNAcentral describes it as "partial 16S ribosomal RNA". It matches the Rfam family "Bacterial large subunit ribosomal RNA", at positions 1832 to 2596 of the family's 2925-position model. The record is from RNAcentral. Lineage: Eukaryota; Metazoa; Arthropoda; Insecta; Psocodea; Sphaeropsocidae.
GCUCUUAUUUAAAAUUAGGAGUAGUUCCUGCCCUAUGCUAUAAUAGUAAAUGGCCGCAUAAAGCGCUAAGGUAGCAUAAUAAUAUGCCCUUUAAUUGAGGGAAAGCAUGAAUGGAUUGACGAGGGUUUAUUUUUCUUAAAACUAAAUAUUGAAUUUGGAAACUAGGUUAAAAUACCUAGAUAUGGAUAAGGGACGAGAAGACCCUAGGAUCUUGAUCUGUAAAGAUUUUGCUGGGGCGGCAUUUUAAACAUAUAACUUUAAAUACCCAACAUAUACCCAUACGAGUAUUGUUCCUAAAAGUUACCCUAGGGAUAACAGAGUAAUUUUAUUAAAGAGCCCUUAUCAAUAAUAAAGAUUGCGACCUCGAUGUUGAAUUAGGAAUCCCCUGAGAAGAAGCAUUCUCAGAGGGGAGUCUGUUCGACUCUUAAAUUCC